UCCUCCUCUGCACCACUGAGGGAGGAGUGAGUGAACAGCAGUGUGGAGUUUAGCUGCCCCUCAAGGUUAAACCACAGCUGAAAUCUGCAAGAUAAAGGGAACUUUCUUAUUAAAAGACUUUUUUUCUUGAACAAUCUUUAUGAAGCUAACUUAUUCAACUAGCAACUCCUUGUGUCUGAUUUCUUUUUUUUCCUCUGCAACUUUAAUUCCAUUGUAAACAACGGUGUGAGCAAGAAAUUUAAAAAGUGAAUUGAAGACAUUACAAUGCCCAGAGUUCUGGAAAAGGGGGAAAAG
This is a long non-coding RNA of Lagopus muta (rock ptarmigan), 294 nucleotides long. RefSeq lists it as uncharacterized. The transcript has 3 exons. Lineage: Eukaryota; Metazoa; Chordata; Aves; Galliformes; Phasianidae. The record is from RefSeq and is a predicted model, not a curated record.